This 416-nucleotide long non-coding RNA is filed under the name Fukomys damarensis (Damara mole-rat). Its description in RNAcentral is "lncRNA (ENSFDAG00000025351.1)". The record is from RNAcentral. Lineage: Eukaryota; Metazoa; Chordata; Mammalia; Rodentia; Bathyergidae.
GAAAACCACGGACAAGAGGAAGUUGAAGAUAUGAGAAAAACGAAGCUCUGUCAUGGUGGUAGUCUAUCUGACAGAACUGAGGAGUCCCCCACUUCCGUUUCCGUGAAGUUGUUCCCCCGGUUCAAUGAUGAAAGAGGUGGCCUCUCCUCCGGGACAGUGGCUUUGACGCAGACAACAAGCACAUGUACCCCCCAGGAUCAUGUGAAGCAGCCAGCCAACUGUGCUUAUCCUUCUACAGGGCUCCUUGCUGCACAGGCAGAGGAGUGACCGGAGGAAAACAAGCCCUCUUGGCUCUCCUGUAAUGUGAACCACAGCAGAUGAAAGGAGACUAAAUUACUGGAGCUGAUCUCCAGAGAAAAUACAACUCCCAGCCUUGGAAAACAGAAACCAGGACAAAAGCCAGACAAGGGAUACUC